Molecule: unclassified non-coding RNA, 632 nt
Filed under: Hevea brasiliensis (rubber tree)
Lineage: Eukaryota; Viridiplantae; Streptophyta; Magnoliopsida; Malpighiales; Euphorbiaceae
Source: RNAcentral
GUGGCUUUGUUCGUGUUCGGAGGUUCACCACUUCCACCAAAAUGGAAGGUUUUGGCGAUCCAGAAAUUGCCAUAGAUGAAGCCAUGCAACACUUCCAAAGGAAGCAAGACAAUGCCUCAACUCGUGAUGGCUUGAUCUCUCCCUCUCCUCUGGCCUUAACCCUAAGAGAAGCUAUUGCUUUAGCAUCAAACACAAAUCUCCUAGUAAUAUAGUUAGCUUCAGUGAACCACAAUCUCUCCAUUAGCGAUAAAUGCUCUUCUGGAAAUGGAUUUUUUGGUGGAAAGAAAAUCGAUGCCUCGGUGAAAUUAGGUUUUACAACCUCACUGCUGAGAGUUCCACGGGCUACAGCAGCCCAUGAAUGGAGAAAAGCAGCACCACUUGGUCCGUCAACGAGCUUGUGAGAUGCAACACAGCCUAAGGCUAUCCCACCACAAGAAAAAACGUUCACUUGAUAAGCUACUUGCGGCACACCCAUGUCCUCCUCGGUGAAAGGCUGGUAUGGAAGGAAUCGAUUCAAGAAUUGGAUUUCUGGGUAUUUAAGAAUAUCAGAUAGUCUUCCACUUACAUGGGCUACAAAGAAAGGAACACCUUCAUUGAAACGAUCUAUAUAGAGGUUAUCAACUAACCUUCCA